AGUGGGGAAUAUUGCGCAAUGGGCGGAAGCCUGACGCAGCAACGCCGCGUGCGGGAUGACGGCCUUCGGGUUGUAAACCGCUUUCACUCAUGACGAAGCUUUUGUGACGGUAGUGGGAGAAGAAGCACCGGCCAACUACGUGCCAGCAGCCGCGGUGAUACGUAGGGUGCGAGCGUUGUCCGGAAUUAUUGGGCGUAAAGAGCUUGUAGGCGGUUUGUCGCGUCGAAAGUGAAAACUCGGGCCUUAAUCCUGAGCUUGCUUUCGAUACGGGCUGACUAGAGGAAGGUAGGGGAGAAUGGAAUUCCUGGUGGAGCGGUGGAAUGCGCAGAUAUCAGGAGGAACACCAGUGGCGAAGGCGGUUCUCUGGACCUUUCCUGACGCUGAGAAGCGAAAGCGUGGGGAGCAAACAGGCUUAGAUACCCUGGUAGUCCACGCCGUAAACGGUGGGCACUAGGUGUGGGUCACAUUCCACGUGAUCCGUGCCGUAGCUAACGCAUUAAGUG
RNAcentral lists this ribosomal RNA (503 nucleotides) under uncultured bacterium. RNAcentral's name for it is "bacterial SSU rRNA". It matches the Rfam family "Bacterial small subunit ribosomal RNA", at positions 353 to 866 of the family's 1533-position model. The record is from RNAcentral.